RNAcentral lists this unclassified non-coding RNA (329 nucleotides) under soil metagenome. Its description in RNAcentral is "partial contains 5.8S ribosomal RNA, internal transcribed spacer 2, and large subunit ribosomal RNA". The stretch from base 1 to 120 matches the Rfam family "5.8S ribosomal RNA", at positions 35 to 154 of the family's 154-position model. The record is from RNAcentral.
GAUGAAGAACGUAGCGAAAUGCGAUAAGUAAUGUGAAUUACAGAAUUCAGUGAAUCAUCGAAUCUUUGAACGCACAUUGCGCCCCCUGGUAUUCCGGGGGGCAUGCCUGUCCGAGCGUCAUUACAACCCUCAAGCUCUGCUUGGUGUUGGGCCCCGCCGCCCCGGCGGGCCCUAAAGUCAGUGGCGGUGCCAUCCGGCUCCGAGCGUAGUAAUUCUUCUCGCUCUGGAGGUCCGGUUGUGUGCUUGCCAUCAACCCCCAAUUUUUUUCAGGUUGACCUCGGAUCAGGUAGGGAUACCCGCUGAACUUAAGCAUAUCAAUAAGCGGAGGA